GUCCACGCCGUAAACGAUGGGUGCUAGGUGUAGGAGGUAUCGACCCCUUCUGUGCCGUAGUUAACACAAUAAGCACCCCGCCUGGGGAGUACGGCCGCAAGGUUGAAACUCAAAGGAAUUGACGGGGGCCCGCACAAGCGGUGGAGCAUGUGGUUUAAUUCGACGCAACGCGAAGAACCUUACCAGGGCUUGACAUCCUCUGACCGCAUAUGAAAGUAUGUUUUCUGGCUUCGGUCAGACAGAGAGACAGGUGGUGCAUGGUUGUCGU
Molecule: ribosomal RNA, 268 nt
Filed under: uncultured bacterium
Lineage: Bacteria
Description: partial 16S ribosomal RNA
Rfam family: Bacterial small subunit ribosomal RNA
Source: RNAcentral